AACCUGUUUUAUAAUCGACAAUCCACGUUAAUUUUCACUUAAAUUAAAAAUUUAUAUACCGCCAUCUAAAAAACUAAUUCUAUAAUAAUAUUUCAAAUAAAAAAUAAAAAGUUAGGUCAAGGUGUAAUCAAUAUUUAAGUAAAAUAUGGGUUACUUUAAAAAAAAAUUUAAGGAUCUUUAUACAAAAGUAUUUAUUAAAAAAGGAUUUAAAAGUAAUAUUAAAAUAAUAUUUUAUUAUGAUUAAGAUAAUAAAUGUGC
This 258-nucleotide ribosomal RNA is filed under the name Lycosa suboculata. RNAcentral describes it as "partial 12S ribosomal RNA". Lineage: Eukaryota; Metazoa; Arthropoda; Arachnida; Araneae; Lycosidae. The record is from RNAcentral.